RNAcentral lists this ribosomal RNA (467 nucleotides) under uncultured bacterium. RNAcentral describes it as "partial 16S ribosomal RNA". It matches the Rfam family "Bacterial small subunit ribosomal RNA", at positions 28 to 507 of the family's 1533-position model. The record is from RNAcentral.
GAUGAACGCUGGCGGCGUGCUUAACACAUGCAAGUCGAACGGAAAGGCCAGUGCUUGCACUGGUGCUCGAGUGGCGAACGGGUGAGUAACACGUGGGUGAUCUGCCCUGCACUUUGGGAUAAGCCUGGGAAACUGGGUCUAAUACCAGAUAGGACCAUGCUUUGGAUGGUGUGGUGGAAAGUUUUUUCGGUGUGGGAUGAGCUUGCGGCCUAUCAGCUUGUUGGUGGGGUAAUGGCCUACCAAGGCGUCGACGGGUAGCCGGCCUGAGAGGGUGUACGGCCACAUUGGGACUGAGAUACGGCCCAGACUCCUACGGGAGGCAGCAGGGGGGAAUAUUGCACAAUGGGCGCAAGCCUGAUGCAGCGACGCCGCGGGGGGGAUGACGGCCUUCGGGUUGUAAACUCCUUUCGCAACUGACGAAGCUUUUUGUGACGGUAGGUGGAGAAGAAGCACCGGCUAACUACGUG